CGUUGAGAAGCUUAUAAAUGGGGAGAAGCGUUGGCCUUUUAAGCUAAAGAUAGGUGGCUCCCGACCACCCUUAACGA
This 77-nucleotide transfer RNA is filed under the name Johnius trewavasae. Its description in RNAcentral is "tRNA-Lys". It matches the Rfam family "tRNA". Rfam says of the family: Transfer RNA (tRNA) molecules are approximately 80 nucleotides in length. Their secondary structure includes four short double-helical elements and three loops (D, anti-codon, and T loops). Further hydrogen bonds mediate the characteristic L-shaped molecular structure. tRNAs have two regions of fundamental functional importance: the anti-codon, which is responsible for specific mRNA codon recognition, and the 3' end, to which the tRNAs corresponding amino acid is attached (by aminoacyl-tRNA synthetases). tRNAs cope with the degeneracy of the genetic code in two manners: having more than one tRNA (with a specific anti-codon) for a particular amino acid; and 'wobble' base-pairing, i.e. permitting non-standard base-pairing at the 3rd anti-codon position. The record is from RNAcentral. Lineage: Eukaryota; Metazoa; Chordata; Actinopteri; Sciaenidae.